Molecule: unclassified non-coding RNA, 245 nt
Filed under: Rutstroemia luteovirescens
Lineage: Eukaryota; Fungi; Ascomycota; Leotiomycetes; Helotiales; Rutstroemiaceae
Description: sequence contains 5.8S rRNA gene
Source: RNAcentral
GAACGCAUCUUGCGCUCCUUGGUAUUCCGGGGGGCAUGCCUGUUCGAGCGUCAUUUCAACCCUCAAGCUCAGCUUGGUAUUGGGCCCUGUCGGUAAAACGACAGGCCUUAAAAUCAGUGGCGGCGCCGUUGGGUCCUGAACGUAGUAAUAUAUUUCGUUACAGGUACUUGAUGUGCUUCUGCCAUUAAACCCCCAAUUUUCUAUGGUUGACCUCGGAUCAGGUAGGGAUACCCGCUGAACUUAAG